This is a long non-coding RNA of Hypanus sabinus (Atlantic stingray), 1478 nucleotides long. RefSeq lists it as uncharacterized. NCBI's taxonomy places the organism in Eukaryota, Metazoa, Chordata, Chondrichthyes, Myliobatiformes, Dasyatidae. The transcript is spliced from 3 exons. The record is from RefSeq and is a predicted model, not a curated record.
GCAGAAGAUAGCAGCUGUCAGACCGAUGCUCCGGUGCACGUGAAGGGGCCAGCUCCUGAAACACGAUCCAGGUGAGGAAGAGAGUCAGCGCUCACGAGGAUAACCUCGAGUGAUCGUCCGCGGGACAGUUUGAAACAAUCCUGGUGCCAGCAGGAGGAAUUUGUGGUCUUUUGUUGGCGGGAGAUGAAGAGAGAAGACGCGAGAGGAGCGAGCUGGUGCACCGCCGGACGAGUUUACUUGGAGUGAGGGUCCAGGAGUCGACGGCACUCGGAUGAAAUCAAUGGAAAACAGUGAGCUCCCGUGCACAAUAAACUGUUUCGUUAAAAUAGGCCCUUUUUCUUUUUGGUUUCUGUACUAACACUAGUCAAAUUAAGAAUUAUAAAGCUCAGUUAUUUAAUUGAAUAUGGUGUACCAUCUUAUUUUUUGGUGGUACAGAGUUGUAACGGGAACACAUCAUACAGCACCAACACAAACAAGGUUUCGUCUGUUUGGCGGGGGUGGCGACUGUCUUCCCCUAGACUAACGCAGCCAUCCGAACCUGGGGGUUAUAUCCGACGUUUGAUUGAUAAGUUUGUGGCCUAAGCUAGAUGGAGUCAAUUUUAGAAAACCUAGCAAAUUUAUAUUUCAGCAUAGUCCCAUCCUACAUUUACACACUUAGUCCAGUGGUUGUGGAGCAUAUGGAUCUUGGACCUCCAGAAAGUGUCCACAGCAGGGGUGAUUGAUAGGUUCGUGGCCUAAGGUACAAGGAGAUGAGUUACACAGCUCUUGUUACAUGCAAAUACAGGUCAACUCUUUGAGUGAUUUUGCAGAAAGUUUGAAGUUAAUAACUCAUCAGCAGUAGAUGGAUUUUAGAAAGGCACUUACAAGGUACCCUUAUUGAGAAAGUAAGGAGGCAUGGGAUCCAAGGGGACAUUGUUUUAUGGAUCCAGAAUUGACUUGCCCACAGAAUGAAAAGUGUACACGGGUCAUAUUCUGCAUGGAGGUCGGUCACCAGUGGUGUGCCUCACGGAUCUUUUCUGGGACCCCUACUCUUUGUGAUUUUUAUAAAUGACCUGGAUGAGGAAGUGGAGGGAUGGGUUAGUAAAUUUGAUGAAGACACAAAGGUUGGGGUGUUGUGGAUAGUGUGGAGGGUUGUCAUACCCCACGGAGUACUGUGCUCAGUUCUGGUCACCUCACUACAGGAAGGAUGUGGAAACCAUGGAAAAGCUGCAGAGGAGAUUUACAAGGAUGUUGCCUGGAUUGGGGAGCAUGCCUGAAGAGAAUAGGUUGAGUGAACUUGCCUUUUCUCCUUGGAGCAACGGAGCAUGAGAAUGUAUAAGAUGAUGAGAGGCAUUGAUCAUGUGGGUAGUCAGAGGCUUUUUCCCAGAGCUGAAAUUGCUAGCACGAGAGUGCACCGUUUUAAGGUAUUUGGAAGUAGGUACAGAGGAGAUGUCAGGGGCAAGUUUUUUUACGCAAAGAGUGGUGAGUGUGUGGAAUGG